CGCGUAGGCGGCGCGGUCAGUCAGGCGUGAAAGCCCGGGGCUCAACCUCGGAAAUGCGCUUGAUACUGUCGCGCUUGAGGACGGGAGAGGACAGUGGAAUUCCCAGUGUAGAGGUGAAAUUCGUAGAUAUUGGGAAGAACACCGACGGCGAAGGCAGCUGUCUGGACCGUUUCUGACGCUGAGGCGCGAAAGCGUGGGGAGCAAACA
Molecule: ribosomal RNA, 207 nt
Filed under: uncultured bacterium
Lineage: Bacteria
Description: partial 16S ribosomal RNA
Rfam family: Bacterial small subunit ribosomal RNA
Source: RNAcentral